RNAcentral lists this ribosomal RNA (253 nucleotides) under uncultured bacterium. RNAcentral describes it as "partial 16S ribosomal RNA". It matches the Rfam family "Bacterial small subunit ribosomal RNA", at positions 524 to 776 of the family's 1533-position model. The record is from RNAcentral.
UACAUGUGGGGCAAGCGUUGUUCGGAAUUACUGGGCGUAAAGCGUGCGCAGGCGGUUUUGUAAGUCUGACGUGAAAUCCCCGGGCUCAACCUGGGAAUUGCGUUGGAGACUGCAAGGCUGGAGUCUGGCAGAGGGGGGUAGAAUUCCACGUGUAGCAGUGAAAUGCGUAGAGAUGUGGAGGAACACCGGUGGCGAAGGCAGCCCCCUGGGUCAAGACUGACGCUCAUGCACGAAAGCGUGGGGAGCAAACAGG